AGCGAACGCUGGCGGCAGGCCUAACACAUGCAAGUCGAACGAACCUUUCGGGGUUAGUGGCGGACGGGUGAGUAACACGUGGGAACGUGCCCUUAGGUUCGCAAUAACUCAGGGAAACUUGUCCUAAUACCGAAUGUGCCCUUCGGGGGAAAGAUUAAUCGCCUUUAGAGCGGCCCGCGACUGUUUCGGUAGUUGGUUGAGGUAAUGGCUCACCAAGGCGACGAUCAGUAGCUGGUCUGAGAGGAUGAUCAGCCACAUUGGGACUGAGACACGGCCCAAACUCCUACGGGAGGCAGCAGUGGGGAAUCUUGCGCAAUGGGCGAAAGCCUGACGCAGCCAUGCCGCGUGAAUGAUGAAGGUCUUAGGAUUGUAAAAUUCUUUCACCGGGGACGAUAAUGACGGUACCCGGAGAAGAAGCCCCGGCUAACUUCGUG
Molecule: ribosomal RNA, 434 nt
Filed under: uncultured bacterium
Lineage: Bacteria
Description: partial 16S ribosomal RNA
Rfam family: Bacterial small subunit ribosomal RNA
Source: RNAcentral